This is a non-coding RNA of Mycena polygramma, 85 nucleotides long. The record is from the annotation of a GenBank genome assembly. Lineage: Eukaryota; Fungi; Basidiomycota; Agaricomycetes; Agaricales; Mycenaceae.
GACACCAUAGCCCAGUGGUACAGCCCCAGACGUUUGAGUAAAAUCAAAUUGCCGGAGGCUGGGAGUUCGAACCUCCUUGGUGACA